UACGUAGGGUCCGAGCGUUGUUCGGAAUUACUGGGCGUAAAGGGCGCGUAGGCGGCCUUCUAAGUCGAACGUGAAAUCCCCGGGCUCAACCCGGGAACUGCGUCCGAGACUGAAAGGCUUGAAUCCGGGAGAGGGAUGUGGAAUUCCAGGUGUAGCGGUGAAAUGCGUAGAUAUCAGGAGGAACACCGAUGGCGAAGGCAGCUCGCUGGGACGGUACUGACGCUGAGGCGACGAAAGCGUGGGGAGCAAACAGG
This 254-nucleotide ribosomal RNA is filed under the name uncultured bacterium. RNAcentral's name for it is "partial 16S ribosomal RNA". It matches the Rfam family "Bacterial small subunit ribosomal RNA", at positions 524 to 776 of the family's 1533-position model. The record is from RNAcentral.